UUAGAAUAUUUUAUUUUUUUCUUAAAAUUGAAAAUAAAUAAUAAUAUAAAAUAUUAAUGACUUGAAAUUCAUUAUUUUAAUAGAUAUUGAUGAAUGUUUGGAUGAUAUUCCUAAUUGUAGUCCUGAUGCUACUUGUUUCAAUACUCCUGGAUCUUAUGAAUGCCACUGUAAAUCUGGAUUUACAGGUUCAGGAUUUGAAUGUACAGAUGUUGAUGAAUGCAGUGAAAAUAAACAUGUAUGUAGUCAUAUCUGUAUAAAUUUUCCUGGAGGAUUUGUUUGUAGUUGUCAGGAUGGAUAUAUUUUAUCUUCUGAAAACAUAUUAUGUGAAGAUAUAGAUGAAUGUAAAAAUUCUUCAGAUCAUGAUUGUGAUCAUAACUGUCAUAAUAAUCCAGGUUCAUAUAACUGCAGUUGUAAUGAUGGUUAUGAAUUACUAGAUGAUGGAAAAACUUGUAUUGGUA
Molecule: long non-coding RNA, 458 nt
Organism: Centruroides sculpturatus (bark scorpion)
Lineage: Eukaryota; Metazoa; Arthropoda; Arachnida; Scorpiones; Buthidae
Exons: 3
Source: RefSeq, a predicted model, not a curated record